RNAcentral lists this long non-coding RNA (1251 nucleotides) under Aquila chrysaetos chrysaetos. Its description in RNAcentral is "lncRNA (ENSACCG00020001256.1)". The record is from RNAcentral. Lineage: Eukaryota; Metazoa; Chordata; Aves; Accipitriformes; Accipitridae.
AAGUCAUUUCAGCACUUCCAGUUCAGAGCUCACGGGCCAGACACGGAGGGCAGCCUCUCCCCGGGCAGACAGGCUGGCAGCAAGGCAGCGGAGCCGGAGCAAUCCCCCGGCCUGAGUGAGAGGAAGAUGAAGGUCCUGCUGACGCUGGCGGUGCUGUUUGCCUGCAGUAAGUGCAGCCGUUCCCCAAUCCGCGGAUGGGAGCCAGGCUGCAGCCCCGCGCCGAUGCAGGGAGCAUCCCCAAACCCCUGUGCACUCCACGGGGAGACUCCCAGCAAAGCCCUCCUCUCUCCCCUGGUUCCCCGGGCCUUAUUUCUGCAUAUAACUUGCAAAAAUCACAUUUUCCGGUUACUCUAGGUGUGUUCGUGGCUCACGGGAAGCUCCCACGCAUGUUCACACCGGGACUCGAAGGAAGCACCGUAGGAAAUCUGACCGCCUACAGCUGUUACUCGGGAUGGGGCAGCAGCGGCACAUCGAGGGCUUCAGUGGACCGGUGCUGCUUGCUCCGUGCCUGCUGCUACGCCAAGCUGGCUGCACGGCGGUGCCGCGUGGGACCCAUCCAGCCCUUCUUGGUGCCCCGGGCAAGAAUCCCCACCUGCCGUAAGUCCCUGCGGUCGUGGUUCGGGAUGCCUCUUUCCAGACCAUCUCCCUCCUUUGUGGUGCCCUUUUUUGGGGCAGCACCCCGGGGAUCUUCCCGAAAAGAAGGUCUCAGACAUGCUUUCUCUCCGGUCCCUGCAGGCUCCGGGACUUGGUGCCAGAGAGGUGCCUGCAGGUGCGAGCAGGCAGCCUGGCUCUGCCGGAUGCGUGGCCGGGGGAUGCUCCGGCGUCGCGGCAAGUGCCGGGGACGAGGCGGGCGGUGUUGAAGCAAAAAGGCUCUUUGCAAAACCACCUCCAGGCUGAUAAGUAAAAGGGACGGUGCGGAGCCGGGAGCAUUUCCCAGCCCUGGCGGGUCUCCUCCUCGGGGCUUUUUGGCUUUGACACGAGGACAACAACGCUCUGGUGAAGUUGCGUCAUUAUACACUGGAUCCGAGGAGGGAGAGCAGCGCAGAUGCAAUGUUUCAGCACAGAAAAACAAGGGAGGGGUGGACACCUGCGCUUCGUCGCUGCGAAGGGCGAGAUGGAAACCAGCGCGAGCCUCUGUGCUGACACUCAUUUCCCCUUGGCUCGAGCUCCCCGUGCAGCCUGUCAGCUCCCUCUGCUUUUUGCUUCACCGCAGAUUCACUUCCGUUGCUCCAAAAUAAAACCAGAGAGCAC